RNAcentral lists this transfer RNA (128 nucleotides) under Penicillium decumbens. It matches the Rfam family "tRNA". From Rfam's summary of the family: Transfer RNA (tRNA) molecules are approximately 80 nucleotides in length. Lineage: Eukaryota; Fungi; Ascomycota; Eurotiomycetes; Eurotiales; Aspergillaceae. The record is from Rfam by way of RNAcentral.
GUCAGUGUGGCCGAGUGGUUAAGGCGACAGACUUGAAUAACAUGAGCAUUUAAGGCAUUUGCUAUGUUCAUGAAAUAUUUAAUUAUCUGUUGAGUUCGCUCUCGCAAGUUCGAAUCUUGUCGCUGACG